UGGCGAACGGGUGAGUAACACGUGAGUAACCUGCCCACAACUUUGGGAUAACGCUAGGAAACUGGUGCUAAUACUGGAUAUGUGCUCCUGCUGCAUGGUGGGGGUUGGAAAGCUCCGGCGGUUGUGGAUGGACUCGCGGCCUAUCAGCUUGUUGGUGGGGUAGUGGCCUACCAAGGCGGCGACGGGUAGCCGGCCUGAGAGGGUGACCGGCCACAUUGGGACUGAGACACGGUCCAG
RNAcentral lists this ribosomal RNA (237 nucleotides) under uncultured Actinomycetales bacterium. RNAcentral describes it as "partial 16S ribosomal RNA". It matches the Rfam family "Bacterial small subunit ribosomal RNA", at positions 96 to 334 of the family's 1533-position model. The record is from RNAcentral. Lineage: Bacteria; Bacillati; Actinomycetota; Actinomycetes; Actinomycetales.